Oncorhynchus keta (chum salmon) is the source of this 546-nucleotide long non-coding RNA. RefSeq lists it as uncharacterized. The record is from RefSeq and is a predicted model, not a curated record. NCBI's taxonomy places the organism in Eukaryota, Metazoa, Chordata, Actinopteri, Salmoniformes, Salmonidae. The transcript has 2 exons.
CUGAAUGCAUUAAUUUUUUGCGUCAUCACUGCAAGCCAUCAUGACUCUCAAAAGCCGCGACAGCCGCUGUUUACUUCUGAAGAUAACUUAAGCGCUGCCCUAAAAACCCGAUUCAAAUUCGACACAAACCUUCAAAUUAUAUAAACUAUUUAUAGUGUUUAAUUUAAAUUUUAGAUUUGAUAAAUUGGACAGAUCGUGUGAAAAAAUCUGUUUCCCCACACGACUUCUCAACCUUUCCCGAUCACGCAGUAGGUUUUGCUUCCCCACCUGCCAUUUUUAAAAAGAACCGACAGAACUCAUUGCCUUCUUCAAUCAUGCAGAGACUGGCAGCAUGAAGGUCUCGUCAUUUAUUUUGCUGGAAAAGGGAGAAAUUGUGCUUUUCAAUGGUAUUCAUAUUACAGUUGACAUGAAAGUAUUACGUUUUUUGGGCGCUAAAAUAAGGUUUAUCAUCUGCUGACCACGUCUCAGUCUGAGGCAUGUAACACUAACAAUAAGAAAUGAGAAAUGAAGAGCACCAGUAAAUAAAUAUGUAUUUGAAAAACCUCU